GGCUGGGGCAGAGAUGGUGCUUCCUAGCCCACUCACUGUGGAUCUGGGGCAAGGGACUGUAGCUCGGUUUCCUCGUCAUGAAAAGGAGAGGGCUGAGGGAGGGGCCUCCUCUAUUCCACCUUUUAGGGAUGGAGAAUGGAGCUAUUUCGACUGAGGGAAGGAUACUGGAUUGUCCCCAGAUGGGGAGGCCUCAGUAGCGGCUUGGAAAUGAUUGAGGUGGAAGGGGUCUGCAGCUAGGGCCCCUGGGCCGCAGCCUCAUUAAGCCUAGGCUGGAGUGAAUGGCUGGCACCAGCCAGUCUGUCCCCAAGGCCUCCAUGGGCUGGGGGAGGGGAAGGAUGAGAAAAGGGGAAGUAAAAGCCAACUUCUCCCUUUCUCUAAACUUGUCGCGAAGGAUGCAGAUGCCCAGGAGAGCCUGGAGAGAUGCAGGAACAAUACUGAUAUUCCUGACCCAAGUCCUCUUCUGGGGUAUCAAGGUUUGGCAACAACUCUGGCUUCAUGAAGGCUUGGCAGGGUCCUACAAAGGCGGAAAGGCUUUCCUUCCCUGUGAUCGAUGGACUACAUGCCUGUCACCCAAGAAUGUGCUUAAGUGAUAAGAAGUCCCACAACAGAACAUCGGUACUGGUUUUUUUUUAACACAACGAGCCAAGAAGAUACCCUAAGGCAUCCUAAGGCAGGCUAGAUAGCACCAAAGUAACAGGAGCUGUUUUGUUCUUUGUAGUUGUGUUAUUGGUGGCAGGUACAGGGGCUUAGUAAAAGUUGAUUGAUGGAUUGACUGAGGAUCCUCUCAGGGCUUUGCCUUGUUGUCAGGUUCUCUUCUCUAUUCCUUGGAACAACAAGACUGAAAGCAGCAGGUGAAGAAAGGGACCUUCUCUCCCCAGUACCAACCCCCGAGGCCCUGUUCCACUUCCCAUGCCCUAGGACAAAAGCUUGUAAAAUGCUCCACGCCAAAACUGGAUAAUGGAGAGGAAAGUGGGACACUUUCUUGGGUUCCAGAGAUCCGGGACACUGGCAUGAGCGUGAGGCAGUGACAGGGUCCUGGGGACUAUGUUGGAUUAAGAAAUUCUGCGGCUCUGAGCCACCAAAGCUUUAGAGAUCUUUCCUAGUAUUUUGUAAUCACACCCACACAUGCAUGCACGCAUGCGCGCGCGCACACACACACACACACACACACACACACACACACAUACUAUGGUAUCCUUCUGAAAAACAUUUUUAAAAUUAUACUAUAAAAAUCCAACAACAGCAACAAUAACAAUAAUAAAGACUGUUCUGAUGAUAUUUUUAUAACUCUU
This 1292-nucleotide long non-coding RNA is filed under the name Phascolarctos cinereus (koala). Its description in RNAcentral is "lncRNA (ENSPCIG00000031103.1)". The record is from RNAcentral. Lineage: Eukaryota; Metazoa; Chordata; Mammalia; Diprotodontia; Phascolarctidae.